ACACAGAGCUGAAGGAAAUACCACUUUUCAGUUCAUAGCAACGUGCCUUUCCCAAGGGGAGUAAAGGAAACAGCAGUGGUUUCUGCUGCACAUGUAACCAUUUCCAUCCAGGGCUGAACUGACAUGCUGAGCAUUUGCCAUGCUUCCUGUCUUAUCAAUUAAUUCAAGACUAAAGCAAGUUGAGAAUCAACCCCUCCCCUUCACUAUUUUAAAAAAAAAGUGGUUUAGAAUUUAUCUCCAUACAGAUGUUGUUGCUGGGCACACAGUAAAGACGGGUGCCCCCUAGGAUCGUUGCAGCUGGAGGAGAUGGCGCGCAAAUCUGUCGUGCUGGGUGCUGUACUCACUGGACUCUGCUCAGAAGCGAGAGCAGCCCUGUGGCCUGCCACCCUUAAAGAGACUGCAGGGGCUUGAAAAUCCUCGCUAUCCGAGCCCUGCCCUUCGGCUUCCCGCGGUUGGCUGCCCCGCGCCCUCAGCCGGUGCUUCCUCCGCCCUGCACGCCUCACCCCUAAAGCUACGCCAGCUGCCGGCUCGAGCAGCAAGAUCGCCAAUUGCUAGCGAGCCGCGGGGAUCCUCUUCCUGUCCCAAGGGAUCGUGCCAGUCGGGGCUUUGCGCCUUCAAGAAAAAAUGCUCCGAAGUCUUGCCUCGUAUGGGACAAAGAGGUAUAAGCCUGGCUACCAACACCUGGGAUCUUAGCGGGGAACGGGGACCGUGUCCCCACCCUUGAAUGUAAACCUCAUCCAGGAGAGAGGUUUUGCCUCCUUUAUUCACUGCCAAGUCUCCAGAUCCUGGAAGAGCGCCUGCAACAGAUUUGAGGAGAAGGAAGCCUUUGUGUCUGGAGCCCUGGAAGCCUGGAAGCUUCACUGCGUUACACUUCCUGCGCACUUCUCCCAACUCUGCCAGGGAAAGCAUCUGAUCGCCGCUGGCCACAGCUUGGAACCCAUGGGCAUGAACAUGGCCUCCUCAAAGUCAUGCCAUGUUUCAGCAGAGGGAAGAAUGUAGGGCAGGCCACACUUUUGUUUCUUUUUUAUUCUCCGUCCAUUUACUUCUUGCAAUGCUAUCAAAUACAGCUAUCCUGAUACAUUAAAUUUUUAUGAAGAGUUGGUGGUAAAUAAAGAGAUCCUGUUGUGUAAGGGAAAUGAAAAG
Molecule: long non-coding RNA, 1143 nt
Organism: Manis pentadactyla (Chinese pangolin)
Lineage: Eukaryota; Metazoa; Chordata; Mammalia; Pholidota; Manidae
Exons: 4
Source: RefSeq, a predicted model, not a curated record